Molecule: non-coding RNA, 255 nt
Organism: Pelobates cultripes (western spadefoot toad)
Lineage: Eukaryota; Metazoa; Chordata; Amphibia; Anura; Pelobatidae
Source: the annotation of a GenBank genome assembly
CUACAGAGGUCUUUGGAAGAAGGGCACAUGGAUUUAUUGUGUCCUCUCUAGGAGAUAACUUACAAUUACCCUUACCUACACUUGUAGAGUGCAACCAGAUACCAGCCAACAAAGAAGAAAUACCUACACCAGAAGUUGCCUUCUUCCACCCUCACCUAAAGUCAAUAGCAAGUGAAAUCCCACCACUUGACAAAGAUGCUAAAAUCCUUCUUCUGCUGGGAAGAGAUAUUCUAAGGGUCCACAAGGCGCACAGGC